UGUUCUCCAAGAAUGCAAAGCUUCCUAUCAGAAGAGCAGCAGUCUUAUUUGGCUCUUAUUGAAGUAUGUGGAUCACAGUGAGCUCAGGAUGAAAGGCACUGACUGGAUAGAGAAAGGUGAGUGACAACACACUUGGGUUUGGUUUGGGACAUCUCACAUU
This 160-nucleotide long non-coding RNA is filed under the name Lynx canadensis (Canada lynx). RNAcentral's name for it is "lncRNA (ENSLCNG00005001243.1)". Lineage: Eukaryota; Metazoa; Chordata; Mammalia; Carnivora; Felidae. The record is from RNAcentral.